GGCACCGUAGCCAAGCGGUAAGGCAGGGGUCUGCAAAACCCCCAUUCGGCGGUUCGAUUCCGCCCGGUGCCU
RNAcentral lists this transfer RNA (72 nucleotides) under Deltaproteobacteria bacterium. RNAcentral's name for it is "tRNA-Cys". It matches the Rfam family "tRNA". Rfam says of the family: Transfer RNA (tRNA) molecules are approximately 80 nucleotides in length. Their secondary structure includes four short double-helical elements and three loops (D, anti-codon, and T loops). RNAcentral also lists the same sequence under 2 other names. The record is from RNAcentral. Lineage: Bacteria; Pseudomonadati; Myxococcota; Myxococcia.